CUUCCACAUCGUGGAAGCUUUGUUCUUUCGCUCUUUGCAAUAAAUCUUGCUACUGCUCACUCUUUGGGUCCACGCUGCUUUUAUGAGCUGUAACACUCACCGCGAAGAUCUGCAGCUUCACUCCCGAGCCAGCGAGACCACGAACCCACCAGAAGGAAGAAACUCCGAACACAUCUGAACAUCAGAAGGGCAGACUCCAGACACGCCACCUUAAGAGCUGUAACACUCACCGCGAGGGUCCACGGCUUCAUUCUUGAAGUCAGUGAGACCAAGAACCCACCAAUUCCGGACACAAUUUCUUGGCUCUCAGUGGCUUCCAUGGAAGUUCUGCAAUCAACCAGCAGGAGAACCGCUUAAACCCAGGAGGCGGAGGUUGCAGUGAGCCAAGUAUGCAUCACUGCACUCCAGCCUGGAAGACAGAGUGAGACCCUGUCUCAACAAAAUAAAUUAAAAUAAAAAAUAAUAUAUUUUUCUAACUAUCAUCCCUUUUCCAAAUCAGGAAUUCCCCUUAAGUUUUCCUCAAUUUCCAUGGCAAUAUCUUUGCAUAGAUUCAUUAAGAAUUUGUCCUUUUUAAAUAAAAAAUAUAAAGGGAACUAUUCAUUAGGCAACAAAUGCCUUGUCUGAAAUAUCACAUUUGAGAAUGCUGCUCAUUUAAUCAGAAAGGUACGCUACUUUAAAGAACUGAGGUCCACUUUCUGGAGCCAAAAACUCAUAAAUCCCUCUCAGAAAAACCUGAUUUGCUUUGUAGGGUCUCAGGUUUAGAGAUGCUGAAAAAGAUAUUUUCGUUGCAGACAAAGGACCUCAGAGUAUUUGGAGAACUUUGAGAAGAGAGGAAUUCUCCCAAAUGUAUAGGUGUCACAGGUAAAAUACAGUCGAGAGAUUUUCUUGGACUUUAAUUCCUUAAAUCAGGAUAGCAAAUAAUAGGGGCUUUUACAAAUUCAAUCUGUUUCCUUACAAAAAUUUUCAGCAAAGUAAUUUCAGCAAAUUAAUUUUCAGCAAAGUAAAUGUAAGAAGACUUAUGUGAAAAAUUAACAUUCUCCAUGUAUCUAUGAAGCCAAACCUAAUAAAACCAGCUUUAAUUUGUGCUCAA
Molecule: long non-coding RNA, 1090 nt
Filed under: Homo sapiens (human)
Lineage: Eukaryota; Metazoa; Chordata; Mammalia; Primates; Hominidae
Description: HSALNT0348091
Source: RNAcentral